UGGGUUGUGGCUCAGUGGUAGAGCACUUACCUAGUACAUGUAAGACACUGGGUUUAAUCCUCAGCAACACAU
This is a non-coding RNA of Ictidomys tridecemlineatus (thirteen-lined ground squirrel), 72 nucleotides long. The record is from Rfam. NCBI's taxonomy places the organism in Eukaryota, Metazoa, Chordata, Mammalia, Rodentia, Sciuridae.